UUCAUACAAGCCAAUGAGGCUUUGUCGGCAUGGCGUUCCAACCAGCUAUUCACAGGUGGUGUGCUAUUGUAACUGCACUCAAAAUAGCACCGGCUUUUUUUAAAGCUAUAAUGGUAAUUGAAGGUUUGGCAGUCAAAUACUUCAGAUAAUUCCACUUUCAGCUUGGUGGAGUUAGUCAAGAGAAGUACAAUACACUGAAUCUCUGUCAACUGCACGGGAGCAGCUUUUGUGGCUGGGGAUAGGCAUUAAAAAAUGAAAGCUAUAUGUAGCAUAAGCAUGUAUCAUUUAGAAUAUAAUUUUACUUACUGAGUAGGACAGUGGCAUCUGAGAUUAGCUGGGGGUGCCUAUGCUAGCAGAAUAUUACUAAUAACAUUUCUUAACAUGGGUCCAUGGUGCUGCUGAGGAAAUUCAACAUGGGUUCUUGACUCUAAGAAUCUGUCUGACUUCUUUGGAUGCUGUCUCAUGAAGCUAGGACUCUUCAUGUGCUGAUUCUGUAUCUUCCAAAAACAUUCUCCUGUAAGCCACAGUUGCAUGUUGUCACUAGAGAGUCGCUGGACAUAAGGCUGCUUGAGCAAUUCAAAAGAAAAAACAUGAGGCAACAACUGGUCUUUGUAAAGCUCAUUAAAACAGAGAAAGCCUUGAAGCAGAAACUUCUGUUUCUCAAGUUAUUUCCCUUCAUCAGCAUCCACCCAGGUUAUCUCAAGCAGAGGUGUGUGCUCCUUCCAAUUUUCUGAGACAAGCAGUUAUUAUACAUAGAUGCUUAGAGGAUGUACACAAAGGAGAACACGCCCUGCCUGCCGUAAUGGACUUGAACUGAUGAGGAAAGGACAUCAAAAUUCAACUUGCAGAGAAGAAGAAAAGCCAGUUCCAAACCCUGGAGCAAUUAUGUGACUUUCUUCCAAUUUAUUCUCACUUCUUACCGAAAUUUAUCUCUGCAAGGAGUGACUGAGUGACUGAAAGAAUAUCUGUGAGAAUGAAGCCUUCAGAGGAAUAUCUCAGGUCAGUGAAGGAAUAGUCAAACACAAUGAAUUAUCAUUCAAGAUAAUGUCAUAUUUUUAGCUAUGAGUUUUGGGAUCAGGGGUUUUAGUUUGUUUGUAAAUAAUUGAAAACAAGAUUAAUUUUUUUUCUUUUCUUUUUUUUUCCAUCUUUCAUAUUCCAAGGGAAUGAUAUUUUUUGGCCAAUUCUGGCAGGAUUACUUCAAGUAUGUCUCAUAGUUGACUCAAAAAUAAAAGGAAAUAGUGUGAAACUCAUCAUCAUGAUUUUGUAAUUUUGCACAUUUUAUUUUGAUACUCCUUUUGUAAUGUUAUUUCAAAAAGCAUAAUAAAAGUUUUCUUUAAAUUAUGACUUCUAUGAGUUGAUGUUUUUCUAUUAGGCCCAGCAUAAGUGGAAAAAACAUCAUCUCCCCUUCUUUCAGUGGCUCAAAUUUUGUCUUGGCUGCUCUUUUCUCUUGUUCUCUUUCAACCUCUUGUAAGAUAUCUCAACAGCAAAAUAUCUCUAUUUAAAGUACUAUGAAUAUCUAAUAGCUGAUAAAAAUUAGCAAUCACAGGCUAAACCCUAAUGAAUCAUAUGUAUCAUUGGGGUCAUAAAUUGUAUGACAUAUACAUAUAUAUAUAUGUGUGUGCAGAAAGAGAGACGGGGAAAUUUUAUUUUCAAUGUUGAUCUGUUGGAAGGAAGAGGGAGGAAAGAAGGAAGAUUCAAAAGAAUCUCUCAGUAUCAUAGGUAAACUCUUAUCUUCAAAUCUAUUUUGCUGUCCUUCUCAUGUAAAUGUCAUGAAAACUAUCAGUGGUGAGAAAAUCCACUUACAGUACACUAGUGUUCAUAAAAUUCAAGAUCCUUAAUAGAAUGUUGUCCCUAAUGAAAAUAGAAAAAAAGAAAGAAAGAAAAAAAAAUAUUUCUGGGAAUUUCUACUUUUUCUAUAAAGCCCCCUUGUUAUAUUGUCUUUGGCUGAAAUUUGUGAAAAUUGAGUCAGUAGGACACUGAUUUAUUCUGAGGGUAUAUAUAUCCAG
This is a long non-coding RNA of Catharus ustulatus (Swainson's thrush), 2006 nucleotides long. Lineage: Eukaryota; Metazoa; Chordata; Aves; Passeriformes; Turdidae. The record is from Ensembl.